AAGCGUGCGCAGGCGGUUCGGAAAGAAGGAUGUGAAAUCCCAGGGCUUAACCUUGGAACUGCAUUCUUAACUACCGGGCUAGAGUAUGUCAGAGGGGGGUGGAAUUCCGCGUGUAGCAGUGAAAUGCGUAGAUAUGCGGAGGAACACCGAUGGCGAAGGCAGCCCCCUGGGAUAAUACUGACGCUCAUGCACGAAAGCGUGGGGAGCAAACAGGAUUAGAUACCCCUGGU
RNAcentral lists this ribosomal RNA (230 nucleotides) under uncultured bacterium. RNAcentral's name for it is "partial 16S ribosomal RNA". It matches the Rfam family "Bacterial small subunit ribosomal RNA", at positions 563 to 791 of the family's 1533-position model. The record is from RNAcentral.